RNAcentral lists this unclassified non-coding RNA (379 nucleotides) under Hevea brasiliensis (rubber tree). Lineage: Eukaryota; Viridiplantae; Streptophyta; Magnoliopsida; Malpighiales; Euphorbiaceae. The record is from RNAcentral.
UUUUGGCGGAUGAAAGCAUUAAGGAGCUUCCUAUGUUUCUCAGAAAAUUUAACAAAUGCAAUGUGUUUUUCAUCAACUUUUGAAACAGGGGCUGAGAUUUUCUGAUGGGCAGCAGAUGUGCUCACAUCUUCAACUUCAGAAACUGCACCAUAGUCAUGACUGGAACCCGACUGUGCAGUAUGCAACUUUUCACACAUUACAAAGAAGGACUCGAUGUAUGGUAAGAUGUUCUGAGAGCCUGCAGGCAGAGGAGGUGUUACACCGGAUGGUUUUGAUGUGGAAGUUCUAGGAAGUAGCAAAUCAGGUACAGAAUCUGAGUAGCUCUCUAUCUUGCUAAUACAAGUGCUCAGCCCCAGCCACAAAGGCUCUAAAGCUCCAU